CCUGAGUGCUGGGAUUAAAGGCGUGUGCCACCACUGCCUGGUCAUAAACAACUUUUUAAAAAAUGUGUUCUUUUGGAAUGCAAAAAAUGCUACUCAGAACACAGUUGACUUUACAUAUCCACCACACGAAACAACUAUGACAGAACUGAAACUAAGAAAAAAAUGCUCCUCCCUCAUGCCUCCUGUGACCUUUGGCCUACAGUCCACCCUCUCUUAUCACCUAAUAUUCUCUUGAUCUCCUCUUUAAAUUUUAGACUAUAUGUAGCGAUUCCUUUUACACAUGCGCAUGAAUACAUUACCCGCUGUGACUGGAAUGUGACAGAGAACAUGUUUUGGAGCACCUUGUGUAAUGUUAUACUUUCCAGGUCUAUCCAUUUUCCUGAACACAGCUCACAAUUUCGUUUGUAAACUGCUUGAGGAGCGUUCUGUGUAUAAAUACACCACAUUUGCAUCAUCCAUCCGUCUGUGGAUGGACAUCUGUUCUGGUUCCAUGUCCUUGCUCUUGUGACUAGUACAACAAUAAACACGAGCGCACAAACAUUUUUGCAAUAGAGCAUGGAGAUUGUUGGUCAAUGCCCAAGAGUGUGAUGAGUGGGCCAUAGGUCAGUUCUCCAGUUUUGGAGGAACCUGUAGUGGGAGGCUGCAGACAGGCUGCAGGAUUCGGUUGCUGUUCCCUGUUCCAGCAGAGGAUUUUGAUCUAAGCCAUCAACUGUCAACAGUGGGAGUGUGUACUGGACAGUUUGAAGUCAACAAACCAGAGUCAUCAGAGAGGAAUGAGCAUCAAUUGAGAAAAUACCUCUAUAAGAUUGGGUUUUAGGUAAGCCUAGAGGGCAUCUUCUCAAUUAGAGAUUGCCCGGGAUCUAAGAUUGAGUGGAUCAACCUUAGGAUGGUGGUCCUGGGUUCUAUAAGAAAGCAGGUCGAGCAGUCACCAGGAGCAAGCCAGUAAGCAGCACCCCCUGUGGCCUCUGCAUCAGCUCCUGCCUUCAGGUUCCUGCCCUGCAUCACAUGGAAGUAGCAAUCCUAACUAAGACAGUGUUGUGGGUUUCUUGGCGAUAGCCGUCUUGAGUGGGAUGAGGUGGCAUCUUGGAGUAAUUUUAAUUUGCAUUUCCCCAGUGACUGGGGAUGGUGAGCCCUUUAAAAUAGUUCUUGUUUCUGUGUGUGUUUCUUCUGUUUACAGCUCUGCUCGAUUCAUUAGCCCAUCUGUUGUUCCGCCAUUUUAUUUCCUUGAUGUUUCAUCUCUGCAGUCCUUGAUGAACUCUGGAUAGGAGCCUCACCCGAGGUCCAGCUGACCAAGGCUUUCCCCGCGCGGUGGGCUGUGUGACGGUUCCACUGGCGUUGCCUUUGCCACGCAGGAACUUGUUUUCACGUUGUCCUGUGUGUUGAUGCUUGAGGCUGGUUCCUGUGCCAUUCCUGUUCUAUUCAGGUAGUUCUUGCCUACCCCAGGGCCUUGAGGAAUAGUCCUUAUGUUUUCCUUCAGAACUUUUAGCAUUUCAGGUUUUAAAUUAAGGUCUUUAAUCACCUCAUGUUCAUCUU
Molecule: non-coding RNA, 1533 nt
Organism: Myodes glareolus (Bank vole)
Lineage: Eukaryota; Metazoa; Chordata; Mammalia; Rodentia; Cricetidae
Source: RefSeq, a predicted model, not a curated record